This 1058-nucleotide long non-coding RNA is filed under the name Coturnix japonica (Japanese quail). Its description in RNAcentral is "lncRNA (ENSCJPG00005006166.1)". Lineage: Eukaryota; Metazoa; Chordata; Aves; Galliformes; Phasianidae. The record is from RNAcentral.
GUUGGGAUAUUAAAAACCAUCUAGUUCCAAACCCCUGUUGUGGGCUGGUUGCUCUGCACCAGCAUAGGCUGUGCAAGACCCCAUCCAUGGCCUUGAGCAUCCCAGGGAUGGGGUACCCACAGCUCUCCGGCAGCAGUGCCAGGGCCUCACUGCCCUUUGAGUAAAGAAUUUCUUCUUAAAGUUAUCCAGGUGGUAAGCUGUGGCAGAAUACUUGCUGUGCUAAAGCUUGCCUGUGACAUAGCUGAGAAAGUCACCCCUAUGGCAAGGUAAGGGCCAGCACAUCUGCUCUGUGCAUGCCCUUGCCCUACCCAGUUCCAAAGCUUCAGCACGAUGUGAUGUGAGGCCUUUGUGUCACCUUUGUGCUACAGAAGAGGUUUUUGUUUGUCCUUCAUAGGCUGAUCCAGGAGCAUUGAGUUACGGAUUGUUGUCCUUGCAAGGUCAGAACUGUGCCCCUCUGUAAUGUCAUUUGAGAGAAUGGCCUGUGUGAUUCUCAUGAGGGUGCUUAGCUCAUGGUGGGGAUGGCAGCUGGCAUUCUACCAAGGGUCCAGCCUCCUCAAGGCCACCUCUGUUUGAAAAGAGAGGCAGAACUUCACUGAGAUGUCCCGGAUUGAUUCAUAGAGAGAUUAACCAUGCAGCAGCAGAACCAAAGCAAGGUAAAUAACUUCUGUUGAAAGACACGGUUACAGUUCUGCUGGCAGCAUCAGCUGAGGUGAAGGCAGUCGUUUGGAACUCUUCUGUUCCGACAUGUGUUGUAGUAAAGCCAGCUAAUAUGAACACAUUGGAAACAUUUUCAUAACGUCCUAUUUGCUGUAAACAAUUCAUUAAAAUAACUUGCUAAGUCUUAGACAAGUGGGUUUUUGAAGGUUGCUCAUUUUACUUAUCCUCCCAAAGUCAAUUUGAGUAUGAAUAUAUAUCAUUUUACUCAUAAUAGCAAACAACUUCGGAAAAGAAACAUUUAUUCUGGAGGCAGAGAUUCAAACUAAACGGCAAUGAUGCAUUACAAAUAUAUAAUUAUUUGCACUAAUAUUUGAGCAGGUGGAAUGGAUUAGUACACAGUC